This 939-nucleotide long non-coding RNA is filed under the name Theobroma cacao (cacao). Its description in RNAcentral is "long non-coding RNA (TCAC_LNC002767)". Lineage: Eukaryota; Viridiplantae; Streptophyta; Magnoliopsida; Malvales; Malvaceae. The record is from RNAcentral.
AGCUCUGAUCCUUCCAUGCGUUCAAUAUUUAUUUCUACUGGCUUAGCCAUUGUUGGUGUCCUUUCUUCAAAUGCACCAGGCAAUUGUUGCUCCAAAACCUAUAUGAUGCAGAAAUGUUGAGCAUAACUGAAACUUAGAAGUAAAGUCAGAAAAUAGGAGUUAUACAGCACAAUUUCAGUAUGCAGGAACUAGAAAAUAGUAGGCAAAGCAUCAGAUAUAUAAUGAAGCAUAAUUACAUCGUAACAAUCUGGAAUAACGUGUGCCCCUGGAUGUCUGCAAGUUUAUAUCCAGGCCUAAUUGCCUUUGCAUAUAUGGAUAGGUCUCUUUCAAUGUUUUAUGCACAUGCACGUAUGACAGAAUUGAAGUCAUUUUCAAUGUAUACUGAACCUAUUUAAAUGAUAACACAGUCUUCAGCAUCUGAUCCACAAUUUACCUACUUGUCAAUAUCAACUCCACUACUGACCCAAGGAGUCUUGCUUUCAUAUGGGCUAUCACCAUAUACCACACAAAUGGUAAGGGAAAUCUCUGCUGAUUUUCUGGAGAUCGUAGAACCUGCAAAAGAAGGAUACCAACUUACUCUAAGACUUGAUUUUUCUAAGAUUCCACGUGACGUAGGUAUGUGCUCCCUGCCAACAUUUUACUGAAACAUUUAUCUCCUAGUAUGAAGUAUUCCGUUUCAAAGAACCUAGCAGAGGCCAGAAUACUAACCCCAAUACCCCUCCUUUCUGUUGUCCGCUCAUAAUUUCCUUGGUCCUGUCAAAAUGUAGAUUAUACAAAAUAACAAUGCUGAUAAAGGCAAAAAGUAGAGACAUAGGGAUCAAUGUCAAAAAAGGUAAAGAAAGCUUGGGAAUUAGCUAUUUAUUAAGCAUCAAACUCAGUAAGAGAUACAGUAUAAGCCUAUGCUUAUUAAGACUAUAGCUUUAGAGAUGCAUAUUAUUU